Molecule: ribosomal RNA, 479 nt
Filed under: uncultured Methylophilaceae bacterium
Lineage: Bacteria; Pseudomonadati; Pseudomonadota; Betaproteobacteria; Nitrosomonadales; Methylophilaceae
Description: bacterial SSU rRNA
Rfam family: Bacterial small subunit ribosomal RNA
Source: RNAcentral
GAAUUGACGGGGGCCCGCACAAGCGGUGGAUUAUGUGGAUUAAUUCGAUGCAACGCGAAAAACCUUACCUGGCCUUGACAUGUAACGAACUUUCCAGAGAUGGAUUGGUGCUCGAAAGAGAACGUUAACACAGGUGCUGCAUGGCUGUCGUCAGCUCGUGUCGUGAGAUGUUGGGUUAAGUCCCGCAACGAGCGCAACCCUUGCCAUUAAUUGCCAUCAUUUAGUUGGGCACUUUAAUGGGACUGCCGGUGACAAACCGGAGGAAGGUGGGGAUGACGUCAAGUCCUCAUGGCCCUUAUGGCCAGGGCUUCACACGUAAUACAAUGGUCGGUACAGGAGGGUUGCCAACCCGCGGAGGGGGAGCCAAUCCCAGAAAGCCGAUCGUAGUCCGGAUUGUAGUCUGCAACUCGACUACAUGAAGUCGGAAUCGCUAGUAAUCGCGGAUCAGCAUGUCCGCGGUCGAAUACGUUCCGGGCCUU